RNAcentral lists this ribosomal RNA (882 nucleotides) under Pectobacterium carotovorum subsp. carotovorum. Its description in RNAcentral is "bacterial SSU rRNA". It matches the Rfam family "Bacterial small subunit ribosomal RNA", at positions 57 to 1417 of the family's 1533-position model. Lineage: Bacteria; Pseudomonadati; Pseudomonadota; Gammaproteobacteria; Enterobacterales; Pectobacteriaceae. The record is from RNAcentral.
GCAGUCGAGCGGGGGAGAUGCUUCGGUAAUUGACCUAGCGGCGGACGGGUGAGUAAUACUUAGGAAUCUGCCUAUUAAUGGGGGACAACAUCUCGAAAGGGAUGCUAAUACCGCAUACGCCCUACGGGGGAAAGCAGGGGAUCACUUGUGACCUUGCGUUAAUAGAUGAGCCUAAGUCGGAUUAGCUAGUUGGUGGGGUAAAGGCCUACCAAGGCGACGAUCUGUAGCGGGUCUGAGAGGAUGAUCCGCCACACUGGGACUGAGACACGGCCCAGACUCCUACGGGAGGCAGCAGUGGGGAAUAUUGGACAAUGGGGGGAACCCUGAUCCAGCCAUGCCGCGUGUGUGAAGAAGGCCUUAUGGUUGUAAAGCACUUUAAGCGAGGAGGAGGCUCCUGUAGUUAAUACCUACAGUGAGUGGACGUUACUCGCAGAAUAAGCACCGGCUAACUCUGUGCCAGCAGCCGCGGUAAUACAGAGGGUGCGAGCGUUAAUCGGAUUUACUGGGCGUAAAGCGUGCGUAGGCGGCUUUUUAAGUCGGAUGUGAAAUCCCCGAGCUUAACUUGGGAAUUGCAUUCGAUACUGGGAAGCUAGAGUAUGGGAGAGGAUGGUAGAAUUCCGUGUAGCGGUGAAAUGCGUAGAGAUCUGGAGGAAUACCGAUGGCGAANGCAGCCAUCUGGCCUAAUACUGACGCUGANGUACNAAAGCAUGGGGAGCAAACAGGAUAGAUACCCUGGAGUCCAUGCCGUAAACGAUGUCUACUAGCCGUUGGGGCCUUUGAGGCUUUAGUGGCCACUACGCGAUAAGUAGACCGCCUGGGGUACGCAGCUAAAANUCAAAUGAAUGGGGGCCCCAACGCAUGUUUUUCGAUGCCAAUUGCUGA